UUUGAAACGCGUUAGGGAUUGUAGUGUAAAUCAUAUUUGAGCCUGUUGGGUCUCCAGCUUUGGCUCAAAUAGAUUGUAGCGCAAAGCCUGACCUCGC
Molecule: small RNA, 97 nt
Filed under: Nonlabens sp. Hel1_33_55
Lineage: Bacteria; Pseudomonadati; Bacteroidota; Flavobacteriia; Flavobacteriales; Flavobacteriaceae
Description: Flavo-1 RNA
Rfam family: Flavo-1 RNA
Source: RNAcentral